This 489-nucleotide ribosomal RNA is filed under the name uncultured bacterium. RNAcentral describes it as "partial 16S ribosomal RNA". It matches the Rfam family "Bacterial small subunit ribosomal RNA", at positions 30 to 507 of the family's 1533-position model. The record is from RNAcentral.
UUGAACGCUGGCGGCAGGCCUAACACAUGCAAGUCGAACGGUAACAGGAAGCAGCUUGCUGCUUUGCUGACGAGUGGCGGCCGGGUGAGUAAUGUCUGGGAAACUGCCUGAUGGAGGGGGAUAACUACUGGAAACGGUAGCUAAUACCGCAUAACGUCGCAAGACCAAAGAGGGGGACCUUCGGGCCUCUUGCCAUCGGAUGUGCCCAGAUGGGAUUAGCUAGUAGGUGGGGUAACGGCUCACCUAGGCGACGAUCCCUAGCUGGUCUGAGAGGAUGACCAGCCACACUGGAACUGAGACACGGUCCAGACUCCUACGGGAGGCAGCAGUGGGGAAUAUUGCACAAUGGGCGCAAGCCUGAUGCAGCCAUGCCGCGUGUAUGAAGAAGGCCUUCGGGUUGUAAAGUACUUUCAGCGGGGAGGAAGGGAGUAAAGUUAAUACCUUUGCUCAUUGACGUUACCCGCAGAAGAAGCACCGGCUAACUCCGUG